UACGAAGGGGGCUAGCGUUGCUCGGAAUUACUGGGCGUAAAGGGCGCGUAGGCGGAUAGUUUAGUCAGAGGUGAAAGCCCAGGGCUCAACCUUGGAAUUGCCUUUGAUACUAGCUAUCUUGAGUUCGGGAGAGGUGAGUGGAAUGCCGAGUGUAGAGGUGAAAUUCGUAGAUAUUCGGCGGAACACCAGUGGCGAAGGCGACUCACUGGCCCGAUACUGACGCUGAGGCGCGAAAGCGUGGGGAGCAAACAGG
This 253-nucleotide ribosomal RNA is filed under the name uncultured bacterium. RNAcentral's name for it is "partial 16S ribosomal RNA". It matches the Rfam family "Bacterial small subunit ribosomal RNA", at positions 524 to 776 of the family's 1533-position model. The record is from RNAcentral.